CCUACGGGAGGCAGCAGUGAGGAAUAUUGGUCAAUGGACGAAAGUCUGAACCAGCCAAGUAGCGUGAAGGAUGACUGCCCUAUGGGUUGUAAACUUCUUUUAUACAGGAAUAAAACGACGCACGUGUGCCUUUUUGCAUGUACUUUAUGAAUAAGGAUCGGCUAACUCCGUGCCAGCAGCCGCGGUAAUACGGAGGAUCCGAGCGUUAUCCGGAUUUAUUGGGUUUAAAGGGAGCGUAGAUGGGUUGUUAAGUCAGUUGUGAAAGGUUGCGGCUCAACCGUAAAAUUGCAGUGGAUACUGGCAGUCAUGAGUACAGGUGAGGCAGGCGGAAUUCGUGGUGUAGCGGUGAAAUGCUUAGAUAUCACGAAGAACCCCGAUUGCGAAGGCAGCUUACUAAACUGUGACUGACAUUGAUGCUCGAAAGUGUGGGUAUCAAACAGGAUUAGAUACCCCGGUAGUC
Molecule: ribosomal RNA, 460 nt
Filed under: uncultured bacterium
Lineage: Bacteria
Description: partial 16S ribosomal RNA
Rfam family: Bacterial small subunit ribosomal RNA
Source: RNAcentral